UGACCCAGUUUUAAUCCCAGCAUGGUCUCGAGAUCCAAUCUCAUAUAAACUGGCAGCAUUUAGGUCUAUGAUCUCUAGGACCUUCACCCACAUCACUAAAUGGUCGGAUAAGGAGUCUGAGCGGCAAUACAUACAUAGGAUAGGAUAUAAGUAUGGAUAUUCUAAAAAAGUUAUAGAAGGAUUAUGGAGAAAGGCACUGCAAUCUGCAAACAACAUUGAUCUUCCAGACCAUAUGCCCCAACGAUCUAACACAACUAACUAUCUCACACUCCCUUAUGACAUGAACAUAAUUCGCACCAUAACCAAGGCUUUGAGAAAUCAAACAUCUACAAUAGUUAAAAAACGAGGCCCCACUGUUUU
This 360-nucleotide long non-coding RNA is filed under the name Androctonus crassicauda. Lineage: Eukaryota; Metazoa; Arthropoda; Arachnida; Scorpiones; Buthidae. The record is from RNAcentral.